This 117-nucleotide ribosomal RNA is filed under the name Bacillota bacterium. The record is from RNAcentral. Lineage: Bacteria; Bacillati; Bacillota.
UCCGGUGGCCAUAGCGUGGGGGAAACACCUGUUCCCAUUCCGAACACAGAAGUUAAGCCCCACAGCGCCGAUGGUACUGCUCUGGCAACGGAGUGGGAGAGUAGGUCGCUGCCGGAG